GGAAGUAAAAGUCGUAACAAGGUUUCCGUAGGUGAACCUGCGGAAGGAUCAUUAAAUAAUUUGAGUAUGCUUAUGCAUAUUUCUAAUUUACUGUGAACUGUUUUACUGUUUAGCGUUUUGAGGGAUGCCUGGAGACUAUAGGGAUAGGUCUUUAGGAUGUUAACCUAGCUAAAGUCAGGCUUAGGCCUGGUAUCCUAAUUCAUUAUUUACCAAAAGAAUUCAGAAUUAAUAUUGUAACAUAAGCGUAAAAAACUUAUAAAACAACUUUUAACAACGGAUCUCUUGGUUCUCGCAUCGAUGAAGAACGUAGCAAAGUGCGAUAACUAGUGUGAAUUGCAUAUUCAGUGAAUCAUCGAGUCUUUGAACGCAUCUUGCGCUCAAUGGUAUUCCAUUGAGCACGCCUGUUUCAGUAUCAACAACAACCCACAUCCACAAUUUUGUUGUGAAUGGAAGUGAGAAUUUCGGACUUGCGCUGAAUUCUUUAAAAUUAUUAGGCCUGAACUAUUGUUCUUUUAGCCUGAACAUUUUUUUAAUAUAAAGGAAUGCUCUAGUUAUUAAGACUGUCUUGGGGGCCUCCCAAAUAAAUCUUCUUUUAAACUUGAUCUGAAAUCAGGUGGGAUUACCCGCUGAACUUAAGCAUAUCAUUAAGCGGAGG
Molecule: ribosomal RNA, 655 nt
Filed under: fungal endophyte sp. R18_1
Lineage: Eukaryota; Fungi
Description: eukaryotic LSU rRNA
Rfam family: 5.8S ribosomal RNA (bases 263-415)
Source: RNAcentral